AGUGAACGCUGGCGGUAGGCCUAACACAUGCAAGUCGAACGGCAGCACAGUAAGAGCUUGCUCUUACGGGUGGCGAGUGGCGGACGGGUGAGGAAUACAUCGGAAUCUACUUUUUCGUGGGGGAUAACGUAGGGAAACUUACGCUAAUACCGCAUACGACCUACGGGUGAAAGCAGGGGAUCUUCGGACCUUGCGCGAUUGAAUGAGCCGAUGUCGGAUUAGCUAGUUGGCGGGGUAAAGGCCCACCAAGGCGACGAUCCGUAGCUGGUCUGAGAGGAUGAUCAGCCACACUGGAAAUGAGACACGGGCCAGACUCCGACGGGAGGCAGCAGUGGGGAAUAUUGGACAAUGGGCGCAAGCAUGAUCCAGCCAGACCGCGUGGGUGAAGAAGGCCUGCGGGUUGUAAAGCCAUUUUGUUGGGAAAGAAAAGCAGCAGGUUAAUACCCCGCUGUUCUGACGGUACCCAAAGAAUAAGCACCGGCUAACUGCGU
RNAcentral lists this ribosomal RNA (491 nucleotides) under uncultured bacterium. RNAcentral's name for it is "partial 16S ribosomal RNA". It matches the Rfam family "Bacterial small subunit ribosomal RNA", at positions 29 to 506 of the family's 1533-position model. The record is from RNAcentral.